Molecule: ribosomal RNA, 425 nt
Filed under: uncultured bacterium
Lineage: Bacteria
Description: bacterial SSU rRNA
Rfam family: Bacterial small subunit ribosomal RNA
Source: RNAcentral
GUAGGGAAUCUUGCGCAAUGGGCGAAAGCCUGACGCAGCCAUGCCGCGUGAAUGAUGAAGGUCUUAGGAUUGUAAAAUUCUUUCACCGGGGACGAUAAUGACGGUACCCGGAGAAGAAGCUCCGGCUAACUUCGUGCCAGCAGCCGCGGUAAUACGAAGGGGGCUAGCGUUGCUCGGAAUUACUGGGCGUAAAGGGCGCGUAGGCGGACAGUUUAGUCAGAGGUGAAAGCCCAGGGCUCAACCUUGGAAUAGCCUUUGAUACUGACUGUCUUGAGUACGGGAGAGGUGUGUGGAACUCCGAGUGUAGAGGUGAAAUUCGUAGAUAUUCGGAAGAACACCAGUGGCGAAGGCGACACACUGGCCCGUUACUGACGCUGAGGCGCGAAAGCGUGGGGAGCAAACAGGAUUAGAAACCCUAGUAGUCC